CCAUCGAUGAAACAUCGAUGUUUCCGAUGUUUCUUUAAUAUCAUAGACUACGGUAAAAAAAGUGUAUUCCACUAGUCUGUACUUCAAAUGUGGAUUGAAAGAAGGAGAAAGCCUGUGAAACAAAGCUGACUGCUUCCGCCAAAAAGGAGCCCAAGCCAAUGGUUUCAUCUGUCGAGAAAAAGUUAAAAGUAAGAAGAUCGUCGGCAGCAACUAAGAAGACAGCAAGCCAUAAAAAAAGCAGCCUCUGCCGGUGACAAGAAACUAAAGGUAAAGAAGUCAGUCGCCACCAAGAAGACCGCCGAGAAGAAAACUGAGAAGGCAAAGGCUAAGGAUGCGAAGAAAACUGGAACCGUGAAGGCGAAGCCAGCAGCGACAAAGGCCAAGUCGAGCCCAG
Molecule: long non-coding RNA, 394 nt
Organism: Drosophila miranda
Lineage: Eukaryota; Metazoa; Arthropoda; Insecta; Diptera; Drosophilidae
Exons: 2
Source: RefSeq, a predicted model, not a curated record